RNAcentral lists this microRNA precursor (103 nucleotides) under Marmota monax (woodchuck). Lineage: Eukaryota; Metazoa; Chordata; Mammalia; Rodentia; Sciuridae. The record is from RNAcentral.
AGAGGAAUAGCUGGGACAAAUGGUAGUUCAAUUCCCAGCUUUCCAAGGAAUCUACAUACUGCUUUCCAAAUUGGCUGCACCAAUUUGCAGUCCCACCAGCAGU